CCUACGGGAGGCAGCAGUGAGGAAUAUUGGUCAAUGGCCGCAGGGCUGAACCAGCCAAGUCGCGUGAGGGAUGACGGUCCUAUGGAUUGUAAACCUCUUUUGUCAGGGAGCAAAGGGCGCCACGUGUGGCGCUUUGCGAGUACCUGAAGAAAAAGCAUCGGCUAACUCCGUUCCAGCAGCCGCGGUAAUACGGGGGAUGCGAGCGUUAUCCGGAUUUAUGGGGUUUAAAGGGUGCGGAGGGGGAAUGUAAAGUCAGCGGGAAAAGUUCGGGGCCCAACCCCGUCGUGCCGUUGAAACUGGCAGUCGUGAGUGGGCGAGAAGGAAGGGGAAUGGGUGGUGUAGGGGUGAAA
RNAcentral lists this ribosomal RNA (350 nucleotides) under uncultured bacterium. RNAcentral describes it as "partial 16S ribosomal RNA". It matches the Rfam family "Bacterial small subunit ribosomal RNA", at positions 338 to 686 of the family's 1533-position model. The record is from RNAcentral.